Saimiri boliviensis boliviensis (Bolivian squirrel monkey) is the source of this 111-nucleotide small nuclear RNA. The record is from Ensembl. NCBI's taxonomy places the organism in Eukaryota, Metazoa, Chordata, Mammalia, Primates, Cebidae.
GUGAGCCACCGCCCCCAAGCCACGUAUAUUAAAAUUGGAAUGUUACACAGAAGUUUAGCAUGGCCACCAUGCAAGGAUGACAGACACAUUUGUGAAGUGUUCCUUUUUUUU